This 416-nucleotide ribosomal RNA is filed under the name uncultured microorganism. Its description in RNAcentral is "bacterial SSU rRNA". It matches the Rfam family "Bacterial small subunit ribosomal RNA", at positions 9 to 417 of the family's 1533-position model. The record is from RNAcentral.
GAGUUUGAUCGUGGCUCAGAUUGAACGCUGGCGGCAUGCCUUACACAUGCAAGUCGAACGGCAGCAUGAUCUAGCUUGCUAGAUUGAUGGCGAGUGGCGAACGGGUGAGUAAUACAUCGGAACGUGCCCUGUAGUGGGGGAUAACUAGUCGAAAGAUUAGCUAAUACCGCAUACGACCUGAGGGUGAAAGUGGGGGACCGCAAGGCCUCAUGCUAUAGGAGCGGCCGAUGUCUGAUUAGCUAGUUGGUGGGGUAAAGGCCCACCAAGGCGACGAUCAGUAGCUGGUCUGAGAGGACGAUCAGCCGACACUGGGACUGAGGACACGGGCCCAGACGUCCUACGGGAGGCAGCAGUGGGGAAUUUUGGACAAUGGGCGAAAGCCUGAUCCAGCAAUGUCGCGUGUGUGAAGAAGGCCU